RNAcentral lists this ribosomal RNA (1908 nucleotides) under Perapion violaceum. RNAcentral describes it as "partial 16S ribosomal RNA". The record is from RNAcentral. Lineage: Eukaryota; Metazoa; Arthropoda; Insecta; Coleoptera; Brentidae.
UUCAGAGGAACCUGUCCUAUAAUUGAUAAUCCACGAUUUAAAUCACUUAUUUUAGUAGUUUGCAUAUCGCCGUAGUUUGAAUAUUUUAUAAGAAUAAUAAUAUUCAAGAUUUUUUAUAAGAAAAUAAAUUAGGUCAAGAUGUAGCUUAUAGAUAAGAAGAGAUGGGUUACAAUAAAAUAAUUUAAGCGGAUUAAUUUAUUAAAAUUUUUAUGAAGAUGGAUUUGAGAGUAAUUUUAAUUACUUAAUUAAAAUGAUUUUAGCUCUAAAAUAUGUACAUAUCGCCCGUCACUUUCACUAUAAAGUGAAAUAAGUCGUAACAUAGUAGAUGUACUGGAAAGUGUAUCUAGAACGUCAAAUUAGAGCUUGUUAAAAGCAUUUUAUUUACAUUAAAAAGUUUAUUGUGAAAAUCAAUAUGAUUUGAAUUAUUAUUAUUAUUAUAUAUAUAUAUAUAUAUAUAUAUAUAUAUAUGUUUUUAUUUAUUUAAAGAAAAUAAUCUAUUGUUUUAUUAUAUUUUAUGAAAUAAUUUAUUUUAUUAUAGAGAAUUAGUAUUGUUAAAGAAAUGGUUGAAAUUAAGAAAAAAACAGUUAAAUUUUGGUACCUUGUGCAUCAGGGUUUAUUAAAUAAAUAUUAAAAAUUUAAUUUUCUCGAAUUUAAAAGAGCUAUAAAGUUAUAAUUUUUAUUGUGUAAUAAAUAUUAUUAAUAACUUUAUUGUAAUGAAACGUUAUUCGUUUUUAUAUAUAUCUAGUUUUUUAAGAAAAAAAUUUAAUUUUUUUAGUAAAAAUAUUUUUUUUAAAUAUUUAAGAUGAUAUUAUUAUUAAACAAUAUUUUUAGGGAUGAGCUUAAAAAUAAAUUUUUAAAAAUAAAUAUAAAUUAUUAAAUAAAUAGGAUUAUAAAUUUUCAUUUUUUAUAGUAUGUUAUAAUUAAUUUAAUUAAAAAUAAAAUUUAAAUUUAUUUUAAAUUUUUUAUUAAAAUAUUUAUUUUAAUUAAAAAAAUAAGGUAAUAAUGAUAAAAUUAGUAUGAUUUUUUGUAUUUUUAUAAAUAUUUGAGGUUAAAUAAAGGAAUUCGGCAAAUAAAUUUUCACCUGUUAUAAAAAACAUGGCCUUUUGAUUAUAAUUUAAGGUCUCACCUGCCCAAUGAAAUAAAUUGAAUGGCCGCGGUAUUUUGACCGUGCAAAGGUAGCAUAAUCAUUUGUUUUUUAAUUGAAAGCUAGAAUGAAGGGUUGAAUGAGAAAAUUACUGUCUCUAUUUAAAUUAAUUAUAAUUUUAUUUUUAAGUUAAAAAGCUUAAUUAAUUUUUGAAGACGAGAAGACCCUAUAGAGUUUGAUAAUUUAAUAAUUUAAAUAAUUAGGUAAUUAUAUUAUUUAAUUUUGAUAAUUAUUUGAUUGGGGUGAUUAAAAAAUUAAAUAAACUUUUUUUUUAUUUUUACAUAAAUUAAUGAGUAAUUGAUCCUUUUUAUAAGAUUAAAAGAUUAAAUUACCUUAGGGAUAACAGCGUAAUUUUUUUUUAGAGUUCAAAUCAAAAAAAAAGAUUGCGACCUCGAUGUUGGAUUAAAAUUAAUAUUUGGUGUAGCAGCUAAGUGGUUAGGUCUGUUCGACCUUUAAAAUUUUACUUGAUCUGUUCAAACCGGUGUAAGCCAGGUUGGUUUCUAUCUCGAAAAUAUUAGAAUAUUUUAGUACGAAAGGACCAAAUAUUUGAUUAAUAAUUUUUUAUACGAAUAAUAAUAGUUAUUUUGGCAGAAUAGUGCAAUAGAUUUAGAAUCUUUAUAAGUAAUUUUUUUACAAAUAAUACUUGAUAUUCAAGGAUUUAGUUAUAAUAUUAAUUUCAAUAGUAAUUUUAGCUUUUUGUGUAAUAAUUGGAGUGGCCUUUCUAACCUUAUUAGAGCGAAAGGUCUUAGGAUAUAUUCAAAUUC